UACAACUCAUAUCAAUGUUUUUCAUACAAUAUGAAAUACAUAAAUCAUCUUUAUGCGUAUGCAUAAAGGAUUCUAUUUACGCAUUAUUUCUUUGGGAGUCAAAGAGGUACGUUCUCUUUGAGAAGAGCAACUUUCUUAGUCUCACUAGAGUUGUCCUUUUGAUUGAAGUUCAUCAUCAUAUGAGAAACUUCCUAUCAUCUUUUGUCUAUAUUUAGGGCUUGAUAUAAUCC
RNAcentral lists this long non-coding RNA (230 nucleotides) under Malus domestica (apple). Its description in RNAcentral is "long non-coding RNA (MDOM_LNC018709)". The record is from RNAcentral. Lineage: Eukaryota; Viridiplantae; Streptophyta; Magnoliopsida; Rosales; Rosaceae.